AAUCAACGCUGGCGGUGUGCCUAACACAUGCAAGUCGAACGCGGUUACCCCGCAAGGGGUAACUGAGUGGCGAACGGGUGAGUAACGCGUGGGUGACCUACCUUCGAGUGGGGGAUAACGUCCCGAAAGGGACGCUAAUACCGCAUAACAUCCUGCCUUUGAACAGGCGGUGAUCAAAGCCGGGGAUCGCAAGACCUGGCGCUUGAUGAGGGGCCCGCGUCUGAUUAGCUAGUUGGUGAGGAAUGGCCCACCAAGGCAACGAUCAGUAUCCGGCCUGAGAGGGCGGACGGACACACUGGGACUGAGACACGGCCCAGACUCCUACGGGAGGCAGCAGUGGGGAAUUUUGGACAAAUGGGGGGCGAACCCUGAUCCAGCCAUGCCGCGUGUGUGAUGAAGGCCUCGG
RNAcentral lists this ribosomal RNA (406 nucleotides) under uncultured bacterium. RNAcentral's name for it is "bacterial SSU rRNA". It matches the Rfam family "Bacterial small subunit ribosomal RNA", at positions 32 to 420 of the family's 1533-position model. The record is from RNAcentral.